UCCACGAGGCCGGUCUUCCAUUGGUUGGAGCGUUGGAACGUCAUUGAGCAGUGAGCACGCAGCAGGAGGAAGAGUUAAACUAUUUCCCCCAUCGUUCUCUGUGCUCUGUUCUUCUCCUUGAUUCCCUCAUUCUCCCACACCACCCUUUGUCUCUCUCUGUGUGAAAAUAUUCUUGGUUGGAGCUUGGAGAUACAGAGAGAGGGAGAGAGUUUUGGUGACGAGAGCAUGGCCAGAUCAGAGGGCUCAAUCUUUAAGCUGUGCUUCUUGUGUUCCGUGAUCGCGAAUCUCUUCUUCGGGGUGAAUCUCUACCUGGGUCGCCGUGGCGUGGGGAGGUGGAAGUGGAGCAGCGACGAGGUGAACGUCCAAGGCCUGAGCUGGAGCGGGAGGGCGGCGGCGGAGGCCGAGUCGGCGGCGGCGCGGGAGUGCUCGGGCCACGGGAGGGCGUUCCUCGACGGGGCGGUCGCCGACGGGAGGCCGGCCUGCGAGUGCAACACGUGCUACGGCGGUCCGGACUGCUCCCUCUUCUUGCCCUCUUGCUCUGCCAAUGCCGACGGGGGAGAUCCAUUGUUCUUGGAGCCAUUCUGGAAGCAGCAUGCAGAGAGCAGUGCAGUAGUGGUGGCGGGGUGGCACAGGAUGAGCUACUCCUUCAGUGACCAGACCUUCUUGUCCCAAGAACUUGAGUCUCUCCUCAGGAAGCUGCACUCCCAGGUUGGGAAUGCCAUCACAGACGACAAAUACAUUUUGUUUGGUGCUGGCUCUACCCAACUCCUCAAUGCUGCUGUCCAUGCUCUCUCUCAUCUCAACUCUUCAUUUCCUGCUUCAGCUGUUGCCUCAAUCCCCUAUUAUGCGCUUUAUCAAAUGCAAACAGAGUUCUUCGACUCAGCAGACUGCAGCUUUCAGGGAGACCCGGUGCAUUGGAAGAACGCAACCAACACCACUGGAGACAUCAUCGAGUUCGUGACUGCACCGAACAAUCCCAAUGGACAGUUGAAUGAGGCCAUUCUCCAUGGCCCUAAUGUUAAAACUAUUCACGACCGCUUAUUACUGGCCACAUUUCACCGGAAUUCCUUCCCAGCAGAUGAGGACCUCACUAUCUUCACUAUCUCUAAGCUCACUGGUCAUGCCGGUAGCAGAUUCGGAUGGGCAUUCAUAAGGAAUGAAGAGGUGUACCAAAGGAUGAACACAUUCCUGCAAUUGAACACGAUGGGCGUCUCAAGGGACACUCAGUUAAGAGCUAUGAAGCUUCUGAAAGUAAUCAUCGAAGAUGGAGGGAGGGAAAUAUUCAAGUUUGGAUACAAAACCAUGACCAAACGUUGGGACAGACUGAGGAAGACACUGUCUAUGUCGAACAGAUUCUCUCUCCAGAAAAUAGCACCUGAAAACUGCACCUAUUUCCAGAAAGUUAGGGAACCAACUCCAGCUUAUGCAUGGGUGAAAUGUGAGAGAGAGGAAGACAGGAACUGCAUUGAGAUCCUAAAUGCAGCCAAAAUCCUCGGUAGAGGAGGGAGCAUCUUCCAUGAUGACGAUAGAUACGCAAGGCUGAGCCUCAUCAGGAGCAACGACGAUUUUGACUUGCUGAUAAGCCGUUUAGAGAGCCUAGUCUCCGGGGAAGAUGGAGCCAAAAUAAUGUGAUUAUGAAGAAAGAAGAACGGUCAAUCUCACGUUGAUCUAUGAUUCUGGACAAAGUGAUCAAAUUAUAGGUAUAUAUCGUGUGAACAAGAGUGAGGGUCAUGACUAUUGACCUAUUUAAGAAAGAGUAAUGUGAUAGGUCUUAGUUUGUAAGAUGGAAACAAGGCCAUGUGACUGUGAAGAAAGAAUAACAGUCAAUCUCGCGUCGAUUUAUGAUUCUAGAUAAAGUGAUCAAAUCAUAGGUACAUAUCGUGUGAAUUAGAGUGAAGGUCAUGACUAUUUACCUCUUUAAGAAAGAGCAAUGUGAUAAGUCUUAGUAUGUAAGAUGGAACCAAAACCAGAAGAUUAUGAAGAAAGAACAACAGUCAAUCUCGCAUUGAUUU
Molecule: RNA transcript, 2012 nt
Organism: Eucalyptus grandis
Lineage: Eukaryota; Viridiplantae; Streptophyta; Magnoliopsida; Myrtales; Myrtaceae
Gene name: tryptophan aminotransferase-related protein 3
Exons: 5
Source: RefSeq, a predicted model, not a curated record